UGGGUGAGGAGAGCCGCGGUCGCCUCCCCCGCCGCAGCCGGGGACCAGCCUCCCCCUUUGCCGCGGGGGCCGCAUGAAGAAGAUCCUUAGCGGUGACGAUUUCAUAAAUUACAUGGCUCUUCCCUGAUGCUCCAUAAAUGGCCACUGGUCCCAAAUUAGUAUGUGGGAGCAAUGAUUGGAGAAUAUGAAGUCCUUAGUUUUAAUGUUUGUAACCCAGUUCAACAGCAUUUAAAUAAAUUUCUUCUGGAUGAGACAGUUUGAAGACAUAUGCUGGGUUGGGUUGUUCUUUUAUCUUGAGUAACUCUGGCCUUCUACUACAACUGCUCAGACUUUCUUCAAAACAGUUAAGAUGCUUUCUGUUACAGAUUCCCCUGUAUUAUUGUCAGUCCUUUGUUGAUAUGCUUGUGUUACCUGUCUCUCUCUCUCUUGAUUAAAAGCAGAAAAAAGGUAUGGAAGAUUAGAAGCUUCUGAUCAUACUCAGCAGUAGUUACAUUGACACUUCGUUUGCAAGCAGCUGGUUACCAGAGGCUGAAGCCAAUGUCAUCAUUUUGUUUGUGUUAUCAUGCUGAGUCCAAACUUUGCCAUUUAAAUACAACCAGAUGUUCCUUACCAGAGCCACUUUGAAUGCAGCAUGUUACACUACAACCCCAUCAGUGCUGAUCCCACUCUUCCAUCUUUGCUUUUAGUGCACUCCUGUUACUUUUCUCUUACUUACAGAAUUACCCUGAAAUG
Molecule: long non-coding RNA, 732 nt
Organism: Poecile atricapillus (Black-capped chickadee)
Lineage: Eukaryota; Metazoa; Chordata; Aves; Passeriformes; Paridae
Exons: 3
Source: RefSeq, a predicted model, not a curated record